UGGGGAAUAUUGCACAAUGGGGGAAACCCUGAUGCAGCGACGCCGCGUGAGCGAUGAAGUAUUUCGGUAUGUAAAGCUCUAUCAGCAGGGAAGAAAAUGACGGUACCUGACUAAGAAGCCCCGGCUAACUACGUGCCAGCAGCCGCGGUAAUACGUAGGGGGCAAGCGUUAUCCGGAUCUACUGGGUGUAAAGGGAGUGUAGACGGCUGUGCAAGCCAGAUGUGAAAGCCCGGGGCUCAACCCCGGGACUGCAUUUGGAACUGUGUGGCUGGAGUGUCGGAGAGGCAGGCGGAAUUCCUAGUGUAGCGGUGAAAUGCGUAGAUAUUAGGAGGAACACCAGUGGCGAAGGCGGCUUUCUGGACUGAAACUGACGCUGAGGCUCGAAAGCGUGGGGAGCGAACAGG
RNAcentral lists this ribosomal RNA (404 nucleotides) under uncultured bacterium. RNAcentral describes it as "bacterial SSU rRNA". It matches the Rfam family "Bacterial small subunit ribosomal RNA", at positions 355 to 776 of the family's 1533-position model. The record is from RNAcentral.